CACCUCUCAGGGUCACAGCUGGAGAGUUUCCAGGACUCUACCAGUCUUGACUGUGGGAGGGAGAGUUAAGCAGAGUCCUAUCCAUUCCUAGCUUGGCCAGUGGCUAGCAAGUGGAAGGCAAUCUGCUAUAAGU
Non-coding RNA from Ornithorhynchus anatinus (platypus), 133 nucleotides. The record is from Rfam. Lineage: Eukaryota; Metazoa; Chordata; Mammalia; Monotremata; Ornithorhynchidae.